UCGACGAGAACGGGUUUAAGUUUACUUAAACUGUCAGCUAAGUGGCGCACGGGUGAGUAAUGUAUAGUUAGCCUGCCCUAGAGAGGGGGAUAACAGUUGGAAACGACUGCUAACACCCCAUAUGCCUUUAAUACACAAGUAUGCAAGGGAAAUAUUUAUAGCUCUAGGAUGGGACUGUAUGGUAUCAGUUAGUUGGUGAGGUAAUGGCUCACCAAGACAAUGACGCCUAACUGGUUUGAGAGGAUGAUCAGUCACACUGGAACUGAGACACGGUCCAGACUCCUACGGGAGGCAGCAGUGGGGAAUAUUGCACAAUGGAGGAAACUCUGAUGCAGCAACGCCGCGUGGAGGAUGACACUUUUCGGAGCGUAAACUCCUUUUAUAUAGGAAGAUAAUGACGGUACUAUAUGAAUAAGCACCGGCUAACUCCGUGCCAGCAGCCGCGGUAAU
RNAcentral lists this ribosomal RNA (450 nucleotides) under uncultured Campylobacterota bacterium. Its description in RNAcentral is "bacterial SSU rRNA". It matches the Rfam family "Bacterial small subunit ribosomal RNA", at positions 62 to 524 of the family's 1533-position model. Lineage: Bacteria; Pseudomonadati; Campylobacterota. The record is from RNAcentral.